Podarcis lilfordi (Lilford's wall lizard) is the source of this 74-nucleotide non-coding RNA. NCBI's taxonomy places the organism in Eukaryota, Metazoa, Chordata, Lepidosauria, Squamata, Lacertidae. The record is from the annotation of a GenBank genome assembly.
GGCAUGUUAGCUCAGUUGGUUAGCGUGUGGUGCUGUUAACACCAAUGUCACAGGUUAAAUCCCCGUAUGGGACA